GGUUGACCAUCCAGAGGGGUGUUCCACGAACGGAGGUUUAACAAACACUGAGUUAACGCUGAACUCUAGGUUGAUUGACCCUGUGCCGACCAACCCAGAGUUUUCGGUUCCACAGCAGCGGUUAUGCAUUAGUUCAAUCAACUCGGGGUUGGUUAACACAGGGUUGUGCGCGUCCACGCCAAACUUAAAAAGACGUGAUGUAUGGAUCAUGGAAACCCUGAUCGAUAUGGCGAAACGGGCCGCUUAUUUCAAUGAAAUGGAACUCCAGGUUCUCCUGGAGAGCUAUGACGAGGAGAAGGACAUUAUCACAAGAAAAGGGAACGCUAAAACCUCUGGAACCCGGAGAACCAAAGCCUGGCAGCGGAUCGCUGACCGCGUAAAUGCGUUAGUUACACGUCAAAAGCAUGAUCCUUAAUAUUUGAGCCAUGAAUAUAUAAAUAUCCCAGUUAAGCAUUCUUAAAGAUCCUACCACAUAACCCCUUUCUUCUAAAACAAUAUGUACUCCGAUUGCUUCCAAGCGGUCAGAGGAUCAAGUAUAAAAAUGAAGUAUAAAAAACAUACAAACUGGUAAGCUUUUCCCACCAUCGUAUUGGUAUAAAUUUAAAUAAGCCAUUUUUUUAAGCCAAUCGUGAAAAGGCCGACAGUCGGCAGACUGGAUCUGGCCCUCAAAUUGUCUUGACCCCGGUGGAGGAGCUGUUAAUAAACAUAAAUUCAGGGCGCCCUGGCAUGGAGGGGGUAGCCUACCUGGAGGUACCUACCACCUCAGAGAGUCAUGGGCCAUACACACUGGUUGAAUGUAGGUUUUUGUGUUUUCUUGUAUUUUAGAUUUUUUUUGCCUUCGAAGUAACACAUGCAAACCGUGUGCUUGCCACAGCGCAUACUAGGCCUAUUCCAAAUGUUUCUUUUUUUGGUAACUGGGUAGAAAACCUAAAAGUGACAAUUCAUCAACUUCACAGAUCAAGAUGGAUCAGUGCUUGUAAUGAAGCCGCCGGCUACGAUCGAACAUUCUCCAGUGGAUGCAAGUCCGUUAGGACUAUUUUAUACUUUAUGUUGUAAAUGCCUCUCGGCAUAGUACUCAGACAAUAUUGCUCUUUGUAUGAUAGGAGGCCGAUACAAAUCUUGGAUGGGUCAUCUGAAACGACUGUGAUGUGCUCAGCAUCUCCAGCAUUAUAGCUUAGAUAAAACUACCAUUUGAAAAAAACGGAGGGCUACGCAAAUAGUCUGGAGUGAACUGAGGCCAGGUCCUCGAUUGGUAGUGUUGGCUAUGCAAGGCUAUUUAAAUAUAUUAAAGAUUUGCGCGAGAAUCUAUAUCUCUCCACUCCAGCAAAAAGUCAUCCAAUAUGCCAAGAUGUCGAGCCGUGGUCUUAUCAAUCGCUCCCGGUGGAUUGCACGUAUAAUUUGCGCUCUGAUAUCAGCAGUUCACUCAUCAAAAGGGCAUGCCAUUGUGAACACAUGAAAUCUGCGGUGAACGCCGGUUGAAAUACCCAAAACCGGGUUAUGUUUCAAACUUAACCUGCGCAAAACCUGGUCCGACCAGGUUUGAUUCAGAUCAUAUGUUGCUAUAGCAACUAACAUACCGUGAUCCUUUUGGAACGGAAAACAUAGGGUUACAGCAAACCCUGGGUUAACUUACCCGGUUAUGUGAUAAAACCGGCUUUGUGGAACACCCCACUGGAUUGGAGCCGGUCUGCCUAAAUGUUUACUCUAUUCAGAAUGCCAGCCAAAUAUAUAGAGCCGACUAUGGUCCUCUAAAUUUGAGAAGAAUACACAAUCGCUACAGGUAUCUCUCCUAUCGUUCCUUUGUGAGCUGGUGCUGGGGCCACCUGGGACGCCGUAUCCGGGUUGUCAUUCCAGCUUGUGUGGUCCUGCGUAUCCGCUCCGAGUUUCCUGCUGAGGAAGGCCACUAUGUUGGUUUUAAACAUCCCCCCGUUUGAACCUUGACACAAGGCUGCUGAUGACCGCCUCCUUGUCAGGCUUCUCAUACUGUGCCGUUAGGGGCUCUGGAACAGGGAUCUCCAACAGGGCCUCGGUGUAUGGCGUAGGGUUGGGAAAGACUUCCUCAAAAAUUACAUCCAUGAUUUCAUCAACGUAACCUGUAUCGUAAAACAUGUUUUCUUUACAAAUUGGUUGGGUCUUGUGUUACUGUGUUUUUGUAUUUAUUUGAUUUUUCAUCAAGAGAAAAACAUUUUAGAAAUCCAAAAUGUGUGUCGUUUGAAUUUAUUUGAACCCUUACCAAAGGUCUGCUGUGUUUUUUGUGGUUUAGCUCUGCACUCUCCCUUCCUAGCCUUUGCAAAGGACAUUUUAUAAAUCGGUACUCCUUCCUUUGUUUCGGCCUGUGGUCGGUCCACAUUGUGAUUUGAAUGCAUAGCAGCCAGGUAGAGUCUGGAAGUACAAGACAAAACAUGUUAAUAUUGACAGAUAUUUUAGGCUACAAUUCCAAAAAGUAUUUAGUAAACAAACUUUCUUUAACCUGCACAGCAUUCCAAUAAAGGGAAAGACAAAAUUUUUGGGGGCAAAACGAAGAAUAACCGCAUGGAAAGCCUCCAAAGAUGAAGUUUGGUGGUGGGGGCUCAGUUUUGCAACAUCCUUCAGCGCCCUUUUAUUGGUCAGCAACUUCUCCAACUUGGAGAAAGUUGGAGUUGCUGCAGACAAUAAGAAAAUAUGAUAUUAGAAAACCAUUACCCAUACAGUAAAGAAUACUACAA
This is a long non-coding RNA of Gadus macrocephalus (Pacific cod), 2705 nucleotides long. RefSeq lists it as uncharacterized. The transcript is spliced from 2 exons. The record is from RefSeq and is a predicted model, not a curated record. Lineage: Eukaryota; Metazoa; Chordata; Actinopteri; Gadiformes; Gadidae.